GUCCCUGUAGCGCAAUGAUAGCGCGUUGGACUUCCAAUCUAAAAGUUGUGAGUUCAAAUCCCACCUGGGAUG
Molecule: non-coding RNA, 72 nt
Organism: Trichonephila inaurata madagascariensis
Lineage: Eukaryota; Metazoa; Arthropoda; Arachnida; Araneae; Nephilidae
Source: the annotation of a GenBank genome assembly